AAGUCGUAACAAGGUUUCCGUAGGUGAACCUGCGGAAGGAUCAUUAAAAAAUCUUUUAAUGAGCCGCAAGGCUCUAAUAUUUUGUGAAAUGUGUAUAUUAUUACAGGCUUGAGGAGGUGGAGUGUAGUAGUAGAAAUUAAUCUUUUGAAAUGGGAUAAAUUUCUUCGAAAGACUUUACCCCUUGUGAAUGUGAUGAUAUAAAAUAUUAAUACAUAUGAUUUUGAUGUUGAGGAAGUAUUAUAUCAAUUAUAAUAUAUGUACAACUUUCAACAGUGGAUCUCUCGGCUCUU
RNAcentral lists this unclassified non-coding RNA (290 nucleotides) under fungal sp. RNAcentral's name for it is "partial internal transcribed spacer region". The stretch from base 1 to 46 matches the Rfam family "Eukaryotic small subunit ribosomal RNA", at positions 1786 to 1831 of the family's 1831-position model. RNAcentral also lists the same sequence under 1 other name. Lineage: Eukaryota; Fungi. The record is from RNAcentral.